AAUGAACGCUGACAGAAUGCUUAACACAUGCAAGUCGAUGGGGAAGUGGUGCUUGUACCAUGGUAACCAUGGCGGACGGGUGAGUAACGCGUAAGGGACUUGCCCGCGGGACCGGGAUAACAGCAGGAAACUGCUGACAAGACCGGAUAAGGUCAUGGAGCCGCAUGGUUACAUGAUGAAAGGAGACGCCUGCGGAGAGCCUUGCGUCCUAUUAGCUAGUUGGGGGGGUAACGGCCCACCAAGGCGAAGAUAGGUAGCCGGCCUGAGAGGGUGGACGGCCACAAGGGGACUGAGAUACGGCCCUUACUCCUACGGGAGGCAGUAGUGGGGAAUAUUGGACAAUGGGGGCAACCCUGAUCCAGCAAUUCUGUGUGCACGAAGACGGUUUUCGGAUUGUAAAGUGCUUUCAGCAGGGAAGAAGUAAGUGACGGUACCUGCAGAAGAAGCGACGGCUAAAUACGUGCCAGCAGCCGCGGUAAUACGUAUGUCGCGAGCGUUAUCCGGAAUUAUUGGGCAUAAAGGGCAUCUAGGCGGCCUGACAAGUCAGGGGUGAAAACCUGCGGCUCAACCGCAGGCCUGCCUUUGAAACUGACAGGCUGGAGUACCGGAGAGGUGGACGGAACUGCACGAGUAGAGGUGAAAUUCGUAGAUAUGUGCAGGAAUGCCGAUGAUGAAGAUAGUUCACUGGACGGUAACUGACGCUGAAGUGCGAAAGCCGGGGGAGCGAACAGG
RNAcentral lists this ribosomal RNA (732 nucleotides) under uncultured Leptotrichia sp. RNAcentral describes it as "bacterial SSU rRNA". It matches the Rfam family "Bacterial small subunit ribosomal RNA", at positions 28 to 776 of the family's 1533-position model. The record is from RNAcentral. Lineage: Bacteria; Fusobacteriati; Fusobacteriota; Fusobacteriia; Fusobacteriales; Leptotrichiaceae.